Molecule: ribosomal RNA, 428 nt
Filed under: uncultured bacterium
Lineage: Bacteria
Description: bacterial SSU rRNA
Rfam family: Bacterial small subunit ribosomal RNA
Source: RNAcentral
UGGGGAAUAUUGGACAAUGGGCGCAAGCCUGAUCCAGCCAUGCCGCGUGUGUGAAGAAGGCCUUUUGGUUGUAAAGCACUUUAAGCGGGGAGGAGGCAACUUGGGUUAAUACCCCGAUGUUGCGGACGUUACCCGCAGAAUAAGCACCGGCUAACUCUGUGCCAGCAGCCGCGGUAAUACAGAGGGUGCGAGCGUUAAUCGGAAUUACUGGGCGUAAAGCGCGCGUAGGCGGCUUGUUAAGUCGGAUGUGAAAUCCCUGGGCUCAACCUAGGAACUGCAUUCGAUACUGGCAAGCUAGAGUGUGGGAGAGGAAGGUAGAAUUCCAGGUGUAGCGGUGAAAUGCGUAGAGAUCUGGAGGAAUACCGAUGGCGAAGGCAGCCUUCUGGCCUAACACUGACGCUGAGGUGCGAAAGCAUGGGGAGCAAACA